Molecule: small RNA, 582 nt
Filed under: Rattus norvegicus (Norway rat)
Lineage: Eukaryota; Metazoa; Chordata; Mammalia; Rodentia; Muridae
Description: uncharacterized LOC108348398
Source: RNAcentral
CCUAAAGUUGACAUUAGGAUGCUUCAAGGAGAACCCUUUGCAUAUGCCACUCCAAACCUUGUAUGGAUUUUGCUGACAGAGACUGUGAUCUCUGGGCCUGCUGCUCAGAUUCCUUCCAGAGGUUAUGACCUGUGACUCUGAAUAAUAAAAGUCCUUAUCCAGGCUGAGGAACCAAUACUGCAAGACAGAAGGAAUGGGAGAGAAAGGACAAGACCUGCCAAAGCCAUGCCCACCCUGCUCAAGCUGGCCGGAGUCCCUUCAAGGUUCAAUGCUUUGUCUUCACCAUCUGAGAUCAAACGUCUUUAAUUGGGAGCUACAGAAUUUACUGAAUUUAGGAUUCAUUUAAAACUCACUGGCUUAGACUUAUAAUGCUAACCCCCCACUGCUCUGUCUACUUAUGAAGAAGUCUUACACCACAUAGAUUUGCUUAUUUCUGAGAAUGAAAGACUCUUUAUAAUCCUAUUUUAAAAGCUCCUAAGGAGCACAGAGACUAUAAAUUAUAAUUCAGUAUUUGGAAGGGUUGGAUUUAAGUGAGAUAGGAUCAUAUGGUUCAUAGAUUUCUUUUAAUAAACACAUAAGCUU